Oncorhynchus nerka (sockeye salmon) is the source of this 183-nucleotide long non-coding RNA. RefSeq lists it as uncharacterized. NCBI's taxonomy places the organism in Eukaryota, Metazoa, Chordata, Actinopteri, Salmoniformes, Salmonidae. The transcript is spliced from 4 exons. The record is from RefSeq and is a predicted model, not a curated record.
CCUUUCUCUUGCAGGCUGUGCUUCAGUCCGCAGACACGGCAAGAUGCCACGCAAAAUUGAAGAAAUAAAAGAUUUUCUGCUUACAGCAAGAAGGAAGGAUGCCAAGUAUUCAUCUGUUGUCCCACAGCUGUAAAGAUCAAGAAGAACAAGGAAAAUGUCAAGUUCAAGGUGCGUUGCAGCAGG